This 468-nucleotide ribosomal RNA is filed under the name uncultured bacterium. Its description in RNAcentral is "partial 16S ribosomal RNA". It matches the Rfam family "Bacterial small subunit ribosomal RNA", at positions 28 to 507 of the family's 1533-position model. The record is from RNAcentral.
GACGAACGCUGGCGGCGUGCUUAACACAUGCAAGUCGAACGGAAAGGCCCUGCUUUUGUGGGGUGCUCGAGUGGCGAACGGGUGCGUAACACGUGAGUAACCUGCCCUUGACUUUGGGAUAACUUCAGGAAACUGGGGCUAAUACCGGCUAGGAGCUCCUGCUGCAUGGUGGGGGUUGGAAAGUUUCGGCGGUUGGGGAUGGACUCGCGGCUUAUCAGCUUGUUGGUGGGGUAGUGGCUUACCAAGGCUUUGACGGGUAGCCGGCCUGAGAGGGUGACCGGCCACAUUGGGCCUGAGGUGCGGCCCAGACUCCUACGGGAGGCAGCGGUGGGGAAUAGUGCGCAAUGGGCGGAAGCCGGAUGCAGCAACGCCGCGUGCGGGAUGACGGCCUUCGGGUUGUAAACCGCUUUCGCCUGUGACGAAGCGUGAGUGACGGUAAUGGGUAAGGAAGCACCGGCUAACUACGUG